This 327-nucleotide ribosomal RNA is filed under the name Liocarpilodes harmsi. RNAcentral's name for it is "partial large subunit ribosomal RNA". The record is from RNAcentral. Lineage: Eukaryota; Metazoa; Arthropoda; Malacostraca; Decapoda; Xanthidae.
AUUAAUAGAUAUAAUCUUUAAAUUUGAAGAAUUUGGCGGUAGUUUAGUCCUGUUAGAGGAACUUGUUUUUGGAUCGAUAUUCCACGUAAAAUUUUACUUAUUCUAAUUAGUUUGUAUACCGUCAUUAUCAGAUGAUUUUAAAAAGAAAUAAUCAUUAAAUAUUAUAUAUUGUUAAGCUAAAUUAGAUCAAGGUGCAGCUGAUGAAUAAGUUAAAAUGAGUUACAAUAAAAUUUAUUUAUUACGGAGUAAUAAAAGAAAAAUAUUAUAAAGGAGGAUUUAAUUGUAAUACAGUUUUAGUAAGUCUGUAAGAUAUAGGCCCUAAAUUAU